UACGUAGGGCGCAAGCGUUGUCCGGAAUUAUUGGGCGUAAAGAGCUCGUAGGCGGUCUGUCGCGUCGGCUGUGAAAACCUGGGGCUCAACUCCAGGCCUGCAGUCGAUACGGGCAGACUAGAGUUCGGUAGGGGAGACUGGAAUUCCUGGUGUAGCGGUGAAAUGCGCAAAUAUCAGGAGGAACACCGGUGGCGAAGGCGGGUCUCUGGGCCGAAACUGACGCUGAGGAGCGAAAGCGUGGGGAGCGAACAGG
RNAcentral lists this ribosomal RNA (253 nucleotides) under uncultured bacterium. RNAcentral describes it as "partial 16S ribosomal RNA". It matches the Rfam family "Bacterial small subunit ribosomal RNA", at positions 524 to 776 of the family's 1533-position model. The record is from RNAcentral.